AUGAUGAGACCGGUACUGGCCGAAGUAUGAUGAGCACUCGGUUAGCUGA
This 49-nucleotide small nucleolar RNA is filed under the name Pyrococcus horikoshii OT3. RNAcentral describes it as "PHOsR21". The record is from RNAcentral. Lineage: Archaea; Methanobacteriati; Methanobacteriota; Thermococci; Thermococcales; Thermococcaceae.